RNAcentral lists this ribosomal RNA (254 nucleotides) under uncultured bacterium. RNAcentral's name for it is "partial 16S ribosomal RNA". It matches the Rfam family "Bacterial small subunit ribosomal RNA", at positions 524 to 776 of the family's 1533-position model. The record is from RNAcentral.
UACGAAGGGGGCUAGCGUUGUUCGGAAUUACUGGGCGUAAAGCGCACGUAGGCGGACAUUUAAGUCAGGGGUGAAAUCCCGGGGCUCAGCCCCGGAACUGCCUUGAUACUGGGUGUCUUGAGUGUGGUAGAGGUGAGUGGAAUUGCGAGUGUAGCGGUGAAAUGCGCAGAUAUCAGGAGGAACACCCGUGGCGAAGGCGGCUCUCUGGGACGGUACUGACGCUGAGACGCGAAAGCGUGGGGGGAGCGAACAGG